CUGGGAUAAGUGGUGAAGCCACCGCUCCAUGGGGACCGAGCGCGGUCGCAACUAAACCCCGGUACAAGCGGUCUUCAGGGCUAGUUGGGCGACAGGGGGAGGGAGACACACAACCCCAGGCCACGAGACUCAGUAUAGUAAACAGGUUUAUUCGGGGAGAAAUCGCUUACACGCGAUGCAGAUGACCGCUGCAAGUCCCUGCUCCAAGGAUCAACACCGGCUGCCCUCCGACCGAAAGCAAGAGAGAGCGAGCCUGUCCUGGACCCCAGACCAAAUAUCACACGCUCUCGAAUGCACCUGCGACCACUUGGGCGUGGUCAGCGCCACAGAUGAGGCUGAGUGGACCUCUCCUACAAAGGCCUGUGUGACUGAUGCCCAUUGGACCUGAUCCUGUGGCCAACUUGCGCCCUGUCCAGAUGAUAUCACACCGGAAAGAGCAGAGGAUGGCGCAACCAAACCACCUAGCUUCAGGGAUGAGGUCGGCAGAAGAUGAGGGCACAGGAGGACCGCCGGCCAGGCACACCCCUCACACUGAAUCGCCAAGGAAGUGCCAAGCUAGAAUCUCCAGAAUUAUCCCUCUCAGAAACGUGGCGCUCAAAGAG
Molecule: long non-coding RNA, 602 nt
Filed under: Cricetulus griseus (Chinese hamster)
Lineage: Eukaryota; Metazoa; Chordata; Mammalia; Rodentia; Cricetidae
Description: lncRNA (ENSCGRG00015040639.1)
Source: RNAcentral